AGAGUUUGAUCCUGGCUCAGGACGAACGCUGGCGGCGUGCCUAAUACAUGCAAGUCGAACGAGAAUUUCUUACACCGAGUGCUUGCACUCACCGUAAGAAAUUCGAGUGGCGGACGGGUGAGUAACACGUGGGUAACCUGCCCAAAAGAAGGGGAUAACAUUUGGAAACAAAUGCUAAUACCGUAUAACCAUGAUGACCGCAUGGUCAUUAUGUAAAAGGUGGUUUUGCUAUCGCUUUUGGAUGGACCCGCGGCGUAUUAACUAGUUGGUAGGGUAACGGCCUACCAAGGUGAUGAUACGUAGCCGAGUUGAGAGACUGAUCGGCCACAAUGGGACUGAGACACGGCCCAUACUCCUACGGGAGGCAGCAGUAGGGAAUCUUCCACAAUGGGCGCAAGCCUGAUGGAGCAACGCCGCGUGAAUGAAGAAGGUCUUCGGAUCGUAAAAUUCUGUUGUUAGAGAAGAAUAUGAGUAAUAGUAACUGAUUAUUCACUGACGGUAUCUAACCAGCAAGUCACGGCUAACUACGUGCCAGCAGCCGCGGUAAUACGUAGGUGGCAAGCGUUGUCCGG
Molecule: ribosomal RNA, 572 nt
Filed under: uncultured bacterium
Lineage: Bacteria
Description: bacterial SSU rRNA
Rfam family: Bacterial small subunit ribosomal RNA
Source: RNAcentral